AUUGUUAGGGCUAUGGAAACCUGACGGUUUGAGGGCAGACCACCAAGAGAAUUGUUACAUCACAUCCCCAGCUAGACCAGGCUUAGUUUGCUUAGUAAGAAAGGCAAUAUUUUUGUUGAAUUUCACAUUUUCUACCAAGUAAUGAAUUAACCUUUUUGAAAUCGCAGAGGAGAUCACAGCAGGAAAAUGAAGCCAUAUCCUGUACACGCUGGCUACCACAUAUGAACCAUCAGAGAGAUGGAGGGCAAUGCCUGGAGGAAGGACGGGAAGAGGGAAUAUAAGAACAUUCAGUACUAAUGGAUUCCAAACUCCGUGUGAUAACCAGCCGGUCCUGGACCAGCUUAUCAUCGCAGUGUGGACUGAUUCUUUUUUGCAGGAAGUUAGUUUUGACUUCACCAGCUGGACUGGAGGGCACCUGUGGCAUCCCUUGUCCUAUUGCUGUGGGGGACUUCGUCCAGCUUUUAGACAUGCAAGACUAAAUGUGAAUACCAUCUAUACAACAAAUGGUAAUUUAUUAUGUUCUCCAGAAACUGAUUUUGCAACAUUGCUAAACUAGCAGACUGGAGAGAUGCUCACAAUUCUCAGAUGGUAUGAGUGUUUCUCUGCAUGGGCAUCAGAGCUGCCACUGCUUGGCAUUCCAAGAACUUCCCAGCUACAGGUUCAUCACCUUCUCCUCCCAGGAAAGGCAUGUGAGAUUCUGCACAGAGACAGGAAUGUCGUGCCAAAGAGCCUGAAGUCAUGCCAGUGGUGGAGUGCUGAUUGGAACGGACUGGGUUUGGACGACAUCUCUACUCAUCUGUAAUGGAAGCUGUGUCAAAAUAGGAAAAAUUUUGAAAAACUCUGGUGGCCUUUGGGUGAUGAAGUUAAUGAUAAUUGCCACCUUUUUUCGUGAAGUUUCUUGAACUUUGACAACUUUAGGAACAAUAAUACUGAUACUGAUAAUAUGUCAUCUUGUUCUCAUGUUCUGUGAUUCCGAAGAAGCAAGAACUGACCACCAUGUACAUCAGCUGGAACCUUUCUGGAAUCCACACAGAGUAAUAAUCCUUAGGAAAAGCUACCUGGGAUUCAGCUGUUACAAUCAGAAGGCCACGAACACUCAACUGGAACCUUUCAUAAUCCCAGUAAAAG
This 1128-nucleotide long non-coding RNA is filed under the name Pan troglodytes (chimpanzee). Its description in RNAcentral is "lincRNA". The record is from RNAcentral. Lineage: Eukaryota; Metazoa; Chordata; Mammalia; Primates; Hominidae.